AGACGGGGGGGGCAAGUGUUCUUCGGAAUGACUGGGCGUAAAGGGCACGUAGGCCGUUCAUCGGGUGGAAAGUGAAAGUCGCCAAAAAGUGGCGGAAUGCUCUCGAAACCAAUGCACUUGAGUGAGACAGAGGAGAGUGGAAUUUCGUGUGUAGGGGUGAAAUCCUUAGAUCUACGAAGGAAGGCCAAAAGCGAAGGCAGCUCUCUGGGUCCCUACUGACGCUGAGGUGCGAAAGCAUGGGGAGCGAACAGGAUUAGAUACCCUGGUAGUCCAUGCCGUAAACGAUGAGUGUUCGCCCUUGGUCUAGGCAGAUCAGGGGCCCAGCUAACGCGUGAAACACUCCGCCUGGGGAGUACGUUCGCAAGAAUGAA
RNAcentral lists this ribosomal RNA (371 nucleotides) under uncultured bacterium. RNAcentral's name for it is "bacterial SSU rRNA". It matches the Rfam family "Bacterial small subunit ribosomal RNA", at positions 523 to 898 of the family's 1533-position model. The record is from RNAcentral.